Molecule: non-coding RNA, 139 nt
Organism: Pelobates cultripes (western spadefoot toad)
Lineage: Eukaryota; Metazoa; Chordata; Amphibia; Anura; Pelobatidae
Source: the annotation of a GenBank genome assembly
CGGACUGAAAGGAAGUGAGCACUCAGUGUGCACUUCCUUUCAGUCCGGCCAGGAACAGGCAACUGAAUCUCCUGUACCGCACGGUACCCGGCCGGACUGAAAGGAAGUGCACACUGAGUGCUUACUUCCUUUCAGUCCG